RNAcentral lists this ribosomal RNA (444 nucleotides) under uncultured bacterium. RNAcentral describes it as "partial 16S ribosomal RNA". It matches the Rfam family "Bacterial small subunit ribosomal RNA", at positions 354 to 796 of the family's 1533-position model. The record is from RNAcentral.
GUAGGGAAUAUUGGGCAAUGGAGGCAACUCUGACCCAGCCAUGCCGCGUGCAGGAUGACGGCCCUCUGGGUUGUAAACUGCUUUUAUACGGGAAGAAAAAUACUACGUGUAGUAUACUGACGGUACCGUAAGAAUAAGGAUCGGCUAACUCCGUGCCAGCAGCCGCGGUAAUACGGAGGAUCCAAGCGUUGUCCGGAUUUAUUGGGUUUAAAGGGUGCGUAGGCGGAUCUUUAAGUCAGUGGUGAAAGCCUGCAGCUUAACUGUAGAAUUGCCAUUGAAACUGAAGAUCUUGAAUGUGGUUAAAGUAGGCGGAAUGUAUCAUGUAGCGGUGAAAUGCUUAGAUAUGAUACAGAACACCGAUAGCGAAGGCAGCUUGCUGAACCAUUAUUGACGCUGAGGCACGAAAGCGUGGGGAGCGAACAGGAUUAGAUACCCGGGUAGUCC